CUUGGCAGUCAUAGCCUGUGUGAACCACCCGACCCCAUCCCGAACUCGGAAGUGAAACCACAACGCGCCGAUGAUAGUGUGAGGCCUCCUCAUGCGAAAGUAGGUUACCGCCAAGA
Molecule: ribosomal RNA, 116 nt
Filed under: Thioflexithrix psekupsensis
Lineage: Bacteria; Pseudomonadati; Pseudomonadota; Gammaproteobacteria; Thiotrichales
Source: RNAcentral